Molecule: ribosomal RNA, 400 nt
Filed under: uncultured bacterium
Lineage: Bacteria
Description: bacterial SSU rRNA
Rfam family: Bacterial small subunit ribosomal RNA
Source: RNAcentral
UAAGGAAUAUUGGUCAAUGGACGAAAGUCUGAACCAGCCAUGCCGCGUGGAGGAUGAAGGUCCUCUGGAUUGUAAACUUCUUUUAUAUGGGGCGAAAAAAGGCUUUUCUAAGUCGUCUGACGGUACCAUAUGAAUAAGCACCGGCUAACUCCGUGCCAGCAGCCGCGGUAAUACGGAGGGUGCAAGCGUUAUCCGGAUUCACUGGGUUUAAAGGGAGCGUAGGUGGGCUGGUAAGUCAGUGGUGAAAUCUCCGAGCUUAACUCGGAAAUUGCCGUUGAUACUAUUAGUCUUGAAUAUUGUGGAGGUUAGCGGAAUAUGUCAUGUAGCGGUGAAAUGCUUAGAUAUGACAUGGAACACCAAUUGCGAAGGCAGCUGGCUACGCAUAUAUUGACACUGAGGC